Molecule: long non-coding RNA, 426 nt
Organism: Sceloporus undulatus (fence lizard)
Lineage: Eukaryota; Metazoa; Chordata; Lepidosauria; Squamata; Phrynosomatidae
Exons: 4
Source: RefSeq, a predicted model, not a curated record
UCUCCCAGAAACAAAAUGGCAGCCAAGGGCCCCACUUCCUAUUAGGGUCAAAGAGGAGGAGCCCCUCCUCAGGUGGACCUCAGACGGGACGGGAAGGUGUCCAGAGGCCUUCAAUUAAAGGCAUUCAGGCUGGAUGAUUCACUGGCCAAAGUCUCGCUUGGGAUCUGGGUAACCUUCAGCCUCGGCUUUCACAACCAGACCUGAAAGUGGAAAUGCAAUGGCAUGGAUAAUCCUGACACUGGUAGUCAACGCUAUAGCUUUACACUUCUGGAACCUGUCUAGUUCCUUCAUAACAGCCCUUCCAAGUCCAAGUCUUCUUCCGAUGCCUUUACUGCAGUCUCUAUUCAGAUUAAUGAGUGAGCCAAGGAGGCCUGGCACAAGGGUGACCUUACCCCUGCGGUGGGGACCCCCCCCCCCCAAUUUGGG